ACAGUGUCGCGAUAGUAAUUCAACCUAGUACGAGAGGAACCGUCGAUUCACACAAUUGAUCAUCGCGCUUGGUUGAAAAGCCAGUGGCGCGAAGCUACCGUGUGCCAGAUUAUGACUGAACGCCUCUAAGUCAGAAUCCAAGCUAGCAUGCGACGCCUGCGCCCGCCGCCCGCCCCGACCCACGUUAGGGGCGCUUGCGCCCCCAAGGGCCCGUGCCAUUGGCUAAGCCGGUCCGGCCGAAGUGCCGCGGUCGGCCGCCUCGAAGCUCCCUUCCCAACGGGCGGUGGGCUGAAUCCUUUGCAGACGACUUAAAUACGCGACGGGGCAUUGUAAGUGCCAGAGUGGCCUUGCUGCCACGAUCCACUGGGAUCCAGCCCCAUGUCGCACGGAUUC
This 393-nucleotide ribosomal RNA is filed under the name Triticum aestivum (bread wheat). RNAcentral's name for it is "rRNA LSU_rRNA_eukarya". It matches the Rfam family "Eukaryotic large subunit ribosomal RNA", at positions 3005 to 3399 of the family's 3401-position model. Lineage: Eukaryota; Viridiplantae; Streptophyta; Magnoliopsida; Poales; Poaceae. The record is from Rfam by way of RNAcentral.